Long non-coding RNA from Oncorhynchus tshawytscha (Chinook salmon), 1206 nucleotides. The record is from Ensembl. NCBI's taxonomy places the organism in Eukaryota, Metazoa, Chordata, Actinopteri, Salmoniformes, Salmonidae.
CCUGUUUGUCUACUACAUUGCUAUGUUAGUCUCCUACAUUACCCUGUUAGUAUCCUACCCUACCCUGUUAGUCUUCUACAUUACCCUAUUGUCUGUUAGUCUACUACAUUACCAUGUUAGUCUACCCUAUUAGUCUACUACACUACCCUGUUAGUCUACCCUGUUAGUUUAAUACAUUAUCCUGUUAGUCUACUACAUUGCCAUGUUAUCUGCCCUGUUAGUCUACUACAUUACCCUGUUGUCUAACCUGUUAGUCUACUACAUUGCCAUGUUAUCUAUCAUGUUAGUCUGCUACAUUACCCCGUUAGUCUACUACACUACCAUGUUAGUCUAAUACAUUACCCUGUUGUCUAACCUAUUUGUUUACUACAUUACCAUGUUAGUCUACUGCAUUAUCAUGUUAGUAUACUACAUUACCCUGUUUGUCUACCAAAUUACCUUGUUAGUCUGCUACAUUACUAUGUGUGUAAAUCUUUGGCCUAAAUUAGUUUAUUCUGUCAGGAAGACCUCGAAUGAACCUCACUAGUAUACAUGUUUUAUAUGAAUUUUAAGCAAUGUUGACAGGAAAGUUUCCAGUAUAUGUUUUCUAAUAUCCCUAGCUACUGGUUUGUAUGGAUUUUAUACCUAUCUGUGAUGCUCUAAGGCAGAGUAAAAGGUUCAGAACAGUAUUUUUACACAGAAGACGGUGCUAUUUCACUAAAGCCAUCUGUACAGAGCAACCCUACGCCUAAACCUAACCCUAAAACCUAGCACUUAACCUAAGCUUAAACCUAGCACUAAAACUAAACCUACACGUAAACCUAGCUAACACUAAUGCCUUGGGAUAAUGCCAUGGUCCAAUAGCGCACGCAGGCACGCGCACACACACACACACACGUGUACCACAGAUACAGGAAAUUCCAUAGUCACAUGACAGGGUACAGGAAGUUCCAGUUAGUCCAGUAGGGAAAGGCACCAGCAUGGUUCAUCUGCAAUGUUUUAACAUGCAUUGUCAUAUAAAACAUUGAACCUCAUAAUCAAAUUUGUUCAGUCUUAUUUUUAUCUUCCUUCCAAAAUGUUUUUUAUUGUGCAGGAUUGCGCCCUCCCCUGUACUGGGUUAGGAUAGUACCCUCCCCCUGUACUGGGUUAGGAUGGUGCCUCCCCUGUACUGGGUUAGGAUAUACCCUCCCCUGUACUGGGUUAGGAUAGUACCCUCCCCUGUACUGG